RNA transcript from Amphiprion ocellaris (clown anemonefish), 9109 nucleotides. It is a transcript of the gene named charged multivesicular body protein 1B1-like, with no coding region annotated. The record is from RefSeq and is a predicted model, not a curated record. Lineage: Eukaryota; Metazoa; Chordata; Actinopteri; Pomacentridae. The transcript is spliced from 9 exons.
UCUGCUGGACAAGCUAACACAGCCUCGACAAAUCAAAACAAACAACUCUGGAAGUAAGCUAACGGUUGGUUGCUGCUUUGUGUCCGUAUACAGCCAAACAGAGAAAGAAAGAGGCCUUCGUCAUGUCGAAUAUGGACAAACACUUGUUCAACCUCAAGUUUGCUGCCAAGGAGCUCCAACGCAACUCAAAGAAAUGUGACAAGGAGGAAAAAGCAGAAAAAAACAAAGUGAAGCAGGCUAUCCAGAAGGGGAACAUGGAGGCAGCCAGGAUCCAUGCAGAGAACGCCAUCCGUCAGAAGCAUCAGUCUAUUAACUUCUUGAGGAUGAGCGCCCGUGUGGAUGCGGUGGCUUCCAGGGUCCAGACUGCUGUCACUAUGAACCAGGUGUCUAAAUCCAUGUCGGGGGUGGUCAAGUCCAUGGAUGCUACACUGAAAAGCAUGAACUUGGAGAAGAUCUCUGCAUUGAUGGACAAGUUUGAGCACCAGUUUGAGACCCUUGAUGUGCAGACAGCUCAGAUGGAAGACACCAUGAGCAGCACCACCACUUUGACAACACCUCAGAAUGAAGUGGAUUUGCUGUUACACGAGAUGGCUGAUGAAGCAGGACUGGAUCUUAACCUGGAGCUUCCUCCAGGCCAGACAUCCACACUGGCGUCAUCCGUGGCAUCAACAGAGCAGGAUGAGCUCUCACAGAGGCUGUCCAGGCUGCGAGAUCAGGUAUCAUAAUGAUGUUUACAAGAAAAGAAAGAAGAAGAGGAGAAGGAAGGAGACACUGAAGUUGAAAAAGAAAAAGUGGAGAAUCGAUUAAAAAAAAAAAGAUGCAAUGUGCCUGCAAGCUUUUUGCCCUCCUCUGUGUUCCAGGGAACAGAUGAGAGGUCAAAGGUGUCACCUAUAGAGGAAGCGGCCUUCUGCCGCUCGCAUGCCAGAGCCUCAUUACAAACACACAGCUCACUACAUCCCUCGUCUCAGCUGGGAGCCAUUACAGGUGCUGUCCGACGCACACAAAUAUCUACGCAUGAACACACCCGCAGCCCUGCAGCUGAUGGCAGUUCUCCAGAGUGACACUCGGCCACCUCUGACCCCUUUUGUGUCCUUCCCAAUCAUCAUCAGCACACACUUAACUACAUCCACAAUCAUCAUCAGUGGCCCCAGACUGACACAAGUCUCUAUUUUGCCUAUUACCAGAUACUUUGAUGAGCUAGCUGUCUGCAGCGAGCACGCACACGCUCCUCUCAGUUGUUCUAUUUGCCGCCGACCCCGGUGAUCCAGCAGCUGUCAGUCAUUUCUGCUUUCAGUUAAAUCAUCUGAAAUUAAAAUUCCUCAUCCCUUUGCAGCAGGAGCCACACAAUCUAUUUGAUACAUUUUUCUUAAAGUCUAUUUUUAACCCCCAAUGGUCAUCUCUUCUCUUUCAACAUGAUUAAAGCUGGGCGAGUCUGCCACGGCCUAUUUUCCUCUCGGCCGUGUGCAUCCCAACAUGUGUGCAGGGAUGCGUCCACCAGAUGUGCAGGAGACGGCUCCUGUAUGGCGCUGCUGCAUGAGGGAAACCCGUGUUUGUGUAUCUAUGUGUGUGUCAGGUGUUGAUACCUUGUGGCUUUCCCCUCCAGUGCCAUCAACACCUCCAUGUUCUGGUUCCUAGAGGAGCGGGACUUGUUGACAGGCGGGGGAUCCGGCGGCCUGGUGGUCUUGUCCCUGUGGCCGACCCGUCUGCUUCUGCAUUAAAAGGGGGUACGUUGGCUCAGUGGAAAAGCUGUAAUUACAACAAGGGGGAUUGGUUGGACCUUCAAGUGAUCCACACACAGGAUGUGAAACGGUAUGUUCAGUUAGUCAUGAGCUGGGACUCAGCAGGAAAACAUCCAUGCCGCUAAAACCCCAGAUUUUAUCUUGAGAAUAAAACCCGCAUGAAUUUAUGACUCCAUAACUUCUGGAUUAGUUCCUAAUAAUUUCCAAGAAGUUUACAGGAAAUAACUAUUAAAUGGGGUGCUUGUUAUAGCGGAAAAAAGAACUAGAAAACUUAACAUACUUACACAUCACACAUUUUAACAAAAAAAGGUAAACAAAUAUCUGAUAUGUAUUUGCAAUUUAGAGCCAAAAGAUAAUGAGAUUAGUAGAUUGACAGUAAAAUAUUUGGAGCUGUUUUAGUAAUUAAUUGUUUCAGAAAUUCACAAGAAAAAAAUUUGAAAACUUAAAAACAUUAGUUGAAGCUUCUCACAUGAGAUGAUUUACUGCUGUAAGCUAAUUGUAAACUGCAUAACUUUUGACUUUUAGGUUUUAUUGUAUUAUUUUUUAAUGUUUAAUAACUGAUUAAUCAAAAAUACUGGGCAGUUUAAUUGAUGAUGAGACCUGAUUGUACUUAAAUUCAGCAGAAAUUCCUCUUUUCCUGUAUAAAUACUCAAACACACAGUUGUUUCCAGGAAACUUCUGACUAAAGUUUCAAAAGCUUAAAAUGUAAAAAUUUUGUGUCACCAAAUUUUUCAUAAAAGUCUCGGGGCUGCAUAUUUAUAGUAUAUAAUGUGUUUAAAGUUAUGUAGGUGUUUGAAAAAAAAGGGGGGGGAUAUUAAAUGAAUGCGCUUCUAGAAUUUUAUAUAGACCACAAUAUUUCACAAGCGCAAGUUUUUGUUGUUUCUAUCUUUUGUUGUAUCUCUUUUAAAAUGGUUUGAAGAUCAAAUUUUACCCUCUUUUGUGAGUGUAGACAGUAAAAAGACCCAUCAUCUAUUUAAAGUGACUUUAAAGGUGGAAAACGUUCACACAAUGAAGCAGCACGCGGUCUUUCUCCUCCUCUACUCAGCUUGUCUGCCUUUUACCUCUCAGCUUCCCAUUUGAAAUAUUCAAUUACCAUCCGUGAAGGGUCAGGUCAAACACAGGAAGCCGACCUGAUUGGUUCUACUCGGAUAUCGAUGGGCAUGUGUGACCAAUCGCUGCUGCCCAGGCUUUCCCCAGUUUCCAUCUGCUGCUGCUGCGCGUGUGUGUGUGUGUGUGUGUGUGUGUGUGUGUCUAAUCGUUCCAGACCGAGGCUUUCCCCAGUUUCCACUCACCUCUUGACCAUUGUAUCCUGUCAGAUGUGUUAACGCUGCUUUUAAUCAGUUUUACUGUCUCAUUCACACACACACACUAACAGCUGGUCCUGUCCAUCGCUGCUCUCCAGAGCACGCUUCAUUAAGAUUUAACCAAUCUCCUGCUCACAACCUCAGUGUCACACACCUGAUCCCACCACUCCUCUCCUCACCCUGUUAACCCCCCUCAACUUAACCCUCACCUCACCCUGUCACCCACUCUGAUAUCUCUUACAGCCAAACAGCCCGUGAACGUGGACAUCUAGCCUUGUCUGCCAUUUUUUGUUUCCACACAUAUGAAUGCAGUAGGUGUGCCAUGCUUGCUUUAUCGGGGUUUUAACUCAUCACCUCACAAAGGGGAAGUGCUGCUUCAGGCUAUAUCAAACAAAUUAGAACUCUCAUUGCAUCCAUGUGUUGCAGAACUAUAACAACACUUCAAGCCGUUUCUUCUUUUCUCUGGUGUGCUCUGUUUAGCAAAGCCGAGCAUGACAAAAAAGAAUAAUUUCCACAACCUUUGCAUGGAUUGAUGUGAAAUUCGGCACGGAUAUUUGUGUUGUCUGUUUGUUUUUCUGGGCCGCAUGGUGUCUCAGUGGUUAGCAUUUUCACCUUGCAGCUAGAAGAUCCCCGGUUGCGUCCCGGCCUUCCUGGAAUCUUUCUGCAUGGAGUUCACAUAUUCUCCCUGUCCAUGGGUGGGUUUUCUCCGGCUUCCUCCCACAGUCCAAAAACAUGCUGAGGUUAAUUGGUAACUCUAAAUUGUCCAUAGGUGUGAAAGUGAGAGUGAUUGUUUGUCUCUAUAUGCAGCCCUGUGACAGACUGGUGACCUGUCCAGAGUGUCCCCCGUCUUCACCCUCAGUCAGCUGGGAUAGACUCCAGCCCUCCUGUGACUCUAAUGAGGAUGAAGCGGUGUAUAGAUAAUGGAUGGACGGAUGUUUGUCUCUGCUGUCAUGUUGUGUUCCUUCUUUUCCCACAUCGCCCCGGCCGGUUGGGGCAGACUGCCACCCUCCCUGGGCCUGGUUCUGCUGGAGGUGUAUUCCUGUUGUCACUGUUGCAAAUAAAAUACAAUAAAAUAACAAUAAUACACAUGAAAUAAUAUAAAGCCACACUAUUUAUAUUAGUUAAGUUCCAUAAAUUAUACUGUAAUGUUUAGCUUUAUUACAUUAGUUAGAUUAGUCUAAUGAUAAUAAUAACUCUGUGGGGUCUCAGCCUUAACAUGUAUUAUAGUCCAGUUAAGUAUUGUGUAUAAUAAUAAUUUUAUACAGAUAGAUAGAUAGAUAGAAUUUUUAUUGGAUUUAAUUCCUAAUAUUUAAGUUACUGUGGUAUAAUCACACUUUAAAUAAAACUACAGGUUCUUAACUGCAAUGUUAAGUCUCGUUAGGUUGCUUUCAUAAAACCAGUUAUAAAUAUUUUUACUGGAAGAAACUUUGGUGCCAUUUAAGAAUGCUGUCUUGACUUACUUUUAUCAUGCUUACGAUGUUAUUCGUUUGAAAUCAUUUUCAGUAUUUGUCUAAUUUGGCAUUCGUUUUAUUAUAAAGCAUUUGUAACUUUGUUUUCAGAACGUGCUAUACAAAUAAUGUCAGUGUACUUAUUAUUAUCAUUUACUAAUAUUAUUUCCCUCUAGAAUGACUUGUAGUAACUUUAGUGAUCCCUAUCUUUUCGGCAGAGGGAAUCAUCCCUGCAUUUUCUGACAUUUUUGUUUAUGGCCUGUAAACUAAUAUUAUUCCUGUCACCUGUACCUGUAGUUUGUGUUUACUGCUACUUAGCAAAGCAGGUUAACACACUAUACUGUGGUAGUGAAAGUGGUAAAAAGUGAUAGCUGCUAGCUUUGCAUAUUAGUGUUUAGCACAAAGGACUGCUAUGCCUGCACUCACAGGACUGUGAGCUGUCAUUAGUUUUACUCUUUUUAAUAUGCUGAUCAACUGCAACACUAAAAACCACCUACCUAAUACUGUGUAGGUCACCCAAAUCUGACCAAAACAGGUCUGAUCCUAUUCUUAUUGUAUUUGGACACGGGUCCUCUGGGGGUGUCCUGUGGUAUGUGGCUCUCUGAUGUUAUAGGGGAACCUCUGGGUCCUGUGGGAUGCAGGGUGGGGCCUCUGUGGAUCAGUCUUGUUCUGGUCCCAUGGAUACUCAGUCAGCGUCACUGGAGCUUUGUUUGGUUCGUUGUCGUGUUUCUCGCACCAUUCCUGAACAGUUUUUGACAUGCAACAAUUGUCUUGCUAGGGGAGGCUGUAGUGCUGGGCUAUGUGUCUAAAAAAGUAACAUCCACAUGAGUACCAGGAAAACAUUUCAAGUGUUAACCAUAACAAGAUAAUCAAUAUUAUUCACACGUUCUGUUUGUGUUUGAGUGUAUAUCUAACGUGUUUCUCUAUAUUUUCAGAAAGUAUUGUGUGCAACUUCAAACAUAAUGCAGUGUUCAAUAUAAACUACUUUGUUUUAUUCCUUUAAAAAGUUUGCAGUAUACUAAAAAGUAAUUAAAAUUAGAAACAAGUUAGUUAAAUCACUCUCUCUUGUAUUUAUGGUUAUAACUCUAAUAGUUUUAACAUGCUGCAACUAUAUCUCUCUUUGCUACAAAGUUAAUCCUGAAUUAAGAUGAAGGGGGUUGUUGACAAGACAACUGUAGUGACAAAGAUGGAAACAGGAAAACAGCAAAUCUACUAAUAGAAUUUACACCUCUGGAAUCACGUUAUUAUUCUACCAGUGGAUUUGUCAGAAUGGUGAGUGUGAGCAGUGAUCAGUCAGGAGUGUGUGUGUGUGUGGUGCAUAUGGUAAAACACUCUGUAGGUCUGCUGUUAGUCACACUCCUGCGUCUCAAAUUGAAUUAGCGUUGACAGCACACAGCGGCAGCCGCGUGUUCAUGUGUGUGUUCGUGUGUGCGCACCGGGGCCACGAGCUGUUGGCAAACUGUCCGUGUGUGUGUGUGAAUCAGAAGAGAAAGAGGACCUUCCCCCCCUGAAAUCAAUUAAGCGAGUAUAGGUCUGUAGUUGUGGGGGUGAGAGGGGCACAUCCUGUAGAGGGCAGCCCAGACGGACAGCACCAUCUGGGGCGGCAGGCGGGUCGACCCCUUGGUUGUGACAUGAAAGAAAGCGAGGCAGGGAUAAGAGGAGAGGAGAGUGCAGGCCGGCGCUAAAUCACUUUUUCCUCUCCGCCCCGUCCCCUCGUCUGCCAUCCGAUACAUCAGCCACGGAGCAUCAUUCUCACUCAGUCACUCUCCACCUCUUUCCUUACUCACUCCCUUCCCUCUGUAUCUGUCCCAGGAGUGAUAACCUGUCAUACACAGGAAGCAAAAAGAGCUAAGAGCGAUCUAUCCCUCUGUCAGAGAUACGGGCAAAGAGAAAAAGAAUAUCUCACAUCUCUUGUUCCAAAAGGGCUGAUUUAUAGGUUUGUAUUAAAUAAAAACCAACACCAGAGCAUCUCUCUCACACACACACCUGUUGAAUCCAACAUCAGACAAGGGGAGGAAUUAGCACGAACGGAUUCUAUUAGGAAGAGGGAAGGUUCUUCAUGAUGGACAGCCUGGGUCAGAGUGUGUGUUGUGUUUGUUGGUAGUGCUGACAGCCAAUGUUCCCUGUAAUUUUUCCUGAGUCUGAGCAAACACACAAACUCCCUGAGCGUUCCUUGGACCACUGUGAGCAACAUCAGACGUGUGCACUGUGGUCACACCAGCAUCACAUCCAUUCAUGUUACAUGGUUCAUUAAAAGAAUCAGAUUACAGCAUUUACAUUACUGUUAAAACACUUUGUCAACAGGAGCCAGUUGAAGGCUGCAGUGAUUUUAGUGACACUACAAUGUAUAAGAGUGAAGUUAUUGAAUAUUUGUCUCUCUUUACUGUUGCAGCGGUUUUGCAAAUUGCAGACGGACCCUGUUCACUCCAUAGACACCAAUGUUAUUCCUGUAGCUUGAAAGACAGCUACUUUUGAUAAAACUGGGCUUGUAGCACAUUGUCUGCCUUGCAACAAUGGGAAAGAGGCACCGUUUAUGUUUUGACAACCUAUAUCUAAUGAGUUAUUGAUGCUGGAAGUCUGAAUCUGUGAAUAUCUUUCCAACUUUACUGAACUUGGGGCCACUACCACCUAAGGAGUGAUAUAUUUAAUUUUGAAAAAAGCACUUAGCCAUACUUAAAUCUUUAAGUGCUUUAUUAACACGGAACUAAAAAUUUUGUAUUGUUUUAUGAUCACAGGUUCUGUCUGAAAAGAGGUGGCAUCAUUUUAAACGGUGAAAUCAAACUAAUAAAAUGUAAUGAUGAACCACUGAGCAAUACUGGAUUCUGCAAAAACAUAAACAACUUUUAAAAAAAUCUAAAUCUCAACACAGUUAAUGUAUUAACUUAUUUUUGUGUGUAUGCAUGUAUUUAUUGAUUUAUUUAGUACUGUUAACAUAGAGUUCUGAGUGAGUUUUUCUUAAGAUAGGCAAAGGCCAUUUAUUGAUCACAUAUAGGCUGUUAAAUGUUUAUUAAAAACUAAAAAGCAUUAAAAAAAAAAAAAAACAACUUAGGCAUUUAUUGAGUCACUAAAAUACUGUAGAGUACAGACCACAUCAGCAUGAUUAUAAGCAUCCUCUGGUAAAUGAACAACCAGAUACUGAUGUCUCUCACCAUAUGGACUUCAGGAGAUGACUGGGGGAUGAUAAACUGUGACCUACUGGUUGGGUUCUCUCUGUUCUCAUGUUUCUUACAUGUUUGUCCCAUGACAGCCGGGUCUUAAUGUUUUUUGAGCAACACACCAUACUAUGAUGUUUUUACAAUGAUGGUUCUACUAUGGAACCAGUUUGACAUGUUCAGGUGUUCUUUGUGUGAAAACUCAGAGAUUUCAGGGAUCAGAAGCUGGUUUUCAACUUUCUUUGUUAACUUUCUGCUUCAGCUUUAAACUAAAUUUCCUUCACUAACCCAGCCCUCUGGACUUCCAGUAAGCUGUGUUCCUAUUGGCUGUCCAGGUGGCUGCUUGGUGUUAUCAGGAACACCUGAGCAGCUUGGUGUUAUCAGGAACACCUGAGCAGCUCAGUGUCUUCCUGCUUUAUGUGGCUGCAAACAAACAUUUCCUCUGUUUCUCUUUACCACUGAUCCGGGUUUGGUUCUGUUGCUUUAGUUUGUUCUUUAGGUGUUGGCUUGCAGCUUCCAGCAGUAAAAUCGUCUUUAAUGUGUUUCUUGGUGUGUUUUAGGGCUUUGUACUGGAUAGUUGUCUUGGUAAAUGUGGUUCUUUAGCCACAGUUAGCACAUGGUGCUAAUGUGUGCAGUGAUUAGUGGAUUUGGUCCAGCUGAGUUGUGUCUUUAUCUUGGCUGUAGUGAGUCUUCAGAGGUUUUUGGUCAGACACAUUCUGUAUUCUUGUUUGUGAAGCAAUGUUGGUUGUCCAGAAGGUAAGAGUUCCUGUCCUGAUUCUCUGUUCUCAGAGGUUCUCUGGUAGGCUGCAGGAGACUUUAGCGUUUGGGUUGUGCUAGUUUGGUUUUUGUAUGGUUUCAUUUGGACUAUCUUGAGGCUCCUCCAUGUGGUUUAGUGAGGUUUUAUGGAACAGUUCUACAAAGCAACCUGCAGCAGAAGAGACUUCGAGAGUUUUUAGGAAGUUCUGGAGACCAGACUUUAGAGCAGCAGAAACAUUUGUCAGCAGUUUGAGCAGGAGAAGGUGAGCUUCAGAGUAGAAAUGAGACAGAAACCUUCUUGACCUGUGUGGUGAGGUCCUGUACCAAGAGUUUGAGUAGGUUGUGAAGAGUCUGUAGUUCUUUGGUCUGAAAGCACAAGAGUCGACUCAUUAAAGGAGAAAACAGGAGAUAUUGUUGGUUCUUCUGUCGCUCUGCAGUUUCCAGUUUCCUUAGACUGAAUAUCAAGUUUCUAUUUUGAAUGAUUUACCAUGUGAGCCCAAGAAGACUUCAAUAAACUCCCUCCAUCCCCUGGACACAACAUAUUUUAUUACCAUGUUAAAUUUUUUUUUUUUUUUUUUUUUUUUUUAUGUUUUUGAGUUUUAAUCAUAGUUUCAGCAUAGUUUUAUCACUUUGCUUGUUUAGUUUUGUCAUUUGUGUGAAAGUGCUAAACAAAUAAAGUUGAAUUGAUAAAGUGAAUAAUUGACUAACUC